AUCCCGUGUUUCCCUCCUCCCCCUCCCUCCUGUUGGUGGUGUCUUCAUGCAGUAUUAUUGGACAAGAGGCAGACUCUGGUUGAUGCUACUGGAACGAUAGAGGACUCUGGCUGUGUGAAAGGGCCUAGAGGACUGGAAUGUUUGCCACAGGGAGGUUCAAAGAAAUGCUGGUGUGAUUCGUGUUUGGCGUCAGUGUUUGGAUUUACCUUCAGUGCCCCUGUGAAUGCCAGUUUUCAACCUUAUACUCGUCAAUCAUGGGGCUUCGUGCUGUAAACUAACUGUGAGGAGGAGGGCACGCUGCAGGACUGGCAGUUCCCCUCAGCGGCUCAGGGCAAAUGGAAGGCAACAUUUCCACACACUUUCUGGUGGUCACAAAUUUGGUUUGGCAACAUAAUGACAGCAGGGUUUCACAACCGACUGCAUGGAGCAAUACGUGUGAUGACACAGCUCUGGAUCCAAUCCCGGCUUGCUUUUGGUUCCGAUGGCGAUCGAGCUUCUUUCAACAAGUUUCAUGUUUACAGCUAAUUUUGAAACUCUAAACACCAUUAGGGGUUAAGGUGAGUGCAGCGGUGAUGAAAUACAAGGCAGUCAAUCAUAUCCUGCCUGAUCUGUUCUCUCUGCCUAUUGAACCGCAGGCGUUUACCCCCAGGAUACC
Long non-coding RNA from Acanthopagrus latus (yellowfin seabream), 655 nucleotides. RefSeq lists it as uncharacterized. NCBI's taxonomy places the organism in Eukaryota, Metazoa, Chordata, Actinopteri, Spariformes, Sparidae. The record is from RefSeq and is a predicted model, not a curated record. The transcript has 3 exons.